CCUACGGGUGGCAGCAGUGAGGAAUAUUGGUCAAUGGGCGCGAGCCUGACCCAGCCAAGUAGCGUGAAGGAUGACUGCCCUACGGGUUGUAAACUUCUUUUAUAAAGGAGUAAAGUGAGGCUCGUGUGCCUUUUUGUAUGUACUUUAUGAAUACGGAUCGGCUAACUCCGUUCCAGCAGCCGCGGUAAUACGGAGGAUCCGAGCGUUGUCCGGAUUUAUUGGGUUUAAAGGGAGCGUAGAUGGGUUGUUAAGUCAGUUGUGAAAGUUUGCGGCUCAACCGGAAAAUUGCAAUUGAUACUGGCAGGCUUGAGUACAGUAGAGGUAGGCGGAAUUCGUGGUGUAGCGGUGAAAUGCGUAGAUAUAACGAAGAACUCCGAUUGCGAAGGCAGCUUACUAAACUGCAACUGACAUUGAGGCUCGAAAGUGUGGGGAGCAAACAGGAUUAGAUACCCUGGUAGUC
Molecule: ribosomal RNA, 460 nt
Filed under: uncultured bacterium
Lineage: Bacteria
Description: partial 16S ribosomal RNA
Rfam family: Bacterial small subunit ribosomal RNA
Source: RNAcentral